This 468-nucleotide ribosomal RNA is filed under the name uncultured bacterium. RNAcentral's name for it is "partial 16S ribosomal RNA". It matches the Rfam family "Bacterial small subunit ribosomal RNA", at positions 28 to 507 of the family's 1533-position model. The record is from RNAcentral.
GACGAACGCUGGCGGCGUGCUUAACACAUGCAAGUCGAACGGAAAGGCCCUGCUUUCGUGGGGUGCUCGAGUGGCGAACGGGUGAGUAACACGUGAGUAACCUGCCCUUGACUUUGGGAUAACUUCAGGAAACUGGGGCUAAUACCGGAUAGGAGCUCCUGCUGCAUGGUGGGGGUUGGAAAGUUUCGGCGGUUGGGGAUGGACUCGCGGCUUAUCAGCUUGUUGGUGGGGUAGUGGCUUACCAAGGCUUUGACGGGUAGCCGGCCUGAGAGGGUGACCGGCCACAUUGGGACUGAGAUACGGCCCAGACCCCUACGGGAGGCAGCAGUGGGGAAUAUUGCACAAUGGGCGGAAGCCUGAUGCAGCAACGCCGCGUGCGGGAUGACGGCCUUCGGGUUGUAAACCGCUUUCGCCUGUGACGAAGCGUGAGUGACGGUAAUGGGUAAAGAAGCACCGGCUAACUACGUG